RNAcentral lists this small RNA (79 nucleotides) under Arabidopsis thaliana (thale cress). Its description in RNAcentral is "ATSL026560". Lineage: Eukaryota; Viridiplantae; Streptophyta; Magnoliopsida; Brassicales; Brassicaceae. The record is from RNAcentral.
UUAACUCAUAUUUCUACAGCAAAUUCACUACAUCAAUCUGCAGUUAUACCACAUAAUUUUUACUGCAAGUUAUAUCAAA